RNAcentral lists this ribosomal RNA (401 nucleotides) under uncultured bacterium. Its description in RNAcentral is "bacterial SSU rRNA". It matches the Rfam family "Bacterial small subunit ribosomal RNA", at positions 355 to 772 of the family's 1533-position model. The record is from RNAcentral.
CAGGGAAUCUUGCACAAUGGGCGAAAGCCUGACGCAGCGACGCCGCGUGGGGGAUGAAGGCCUUAGGGUCGUAAACCCCUUUCAGCAGGGACGAAAAUGACGGUACCUGCAGAAGAAGCCCCGGCCAACUACGUGCCAGCAGCCGCGGUAAGACGUAGGGGGCGAGCGUUGUCCGGAUUUAUUGGGCGUAAAGAGCUCGUAGGCGGUUGCGUAAGUCGGAUGUGAAAACUCAGGGCUCAACCCUGAGACGCCAUCCGAUACUGCGCUGACUUGAAUCCAGUAGGGGAGUGUGGAAUUCCUGGUGUAGCGGUGAAAUGCGCAGAUAUCAGGAGGAACACCCAUGGCGAAGGCAGCACUCUGGGCUGGUAUUGACGCUGAGGAGCGAAAGCAUGGGUAGCGAA